This 241-nucleotide long non-coding RNA is filed under the name Elaeis guineensis (African oil palm). RNAcentral's name for it is "long non-coding RNA (EGUI_LNC074700)". The record is from RNAcentral. Lineage: Eukaryota; Viridiplantae; Streptophyta; Magnoliopsida; Arecales; Arecaceae.
CGAAUCGGAUUCUUUAUUUCGGCAAUCACCUUUCCUGUAAAACAUAAAAAGAAACAUCAAAUUCUUAAUAAAUAAGAUAAAUUAAAUAUAAUUUUUUGCCUUAAAACACUUAAAUUAAGUGUUUAUCAUCCUUAAAAUAAAAUUAUUAUGGUGAUAACAGAUCAUAGCCUCCCAUUAAGUGGAUGAUAAUGGAUCCAUCAGUUGGAUAAUCAUUGGAGGCCCAAAGGCCUGGUGCUUAUCG